CCUACGGGUGGCAGCAGUGAGGAAUAUUGGUCAAUGGCCGAGAGGCUGAACCAGCCAAGUCGCGUGAGGGAAGACGGCCCUACGGGUUGUAAACCUCUUUUGUCGGGGAGCAAAGCGAACCACGUGGGGGUCAUUGAGAGUACCCGAAGAAAAAGCAUCGGCUAACUCCGUGCCAGCAGCCGCGGUAAUACGGAGGAUGCGAGCGUUAUCCGGAGUUAUUGGGGUUAAAGGGAGCGUAGGUGGAUUGGUAAGUCAGUUGUGAAAGUUUGCGGCUCAACCGGAAAAUUGCAGUUGAAACUGGCAGUCUUGCGUACAGUAGAGGUGGGCGGACUUCGUGGUGUAGCGGUGCAAUGCUUCGAUCUCACGAAGAACUCCGAUUGCGACGGCAGCUCACUGGACUGCACCUGACACUGAGGCUCGACCGUGUGGGUAUCAAACAGGAUUAGCUACCCCAGUAGUC
Molecule: ribosomal RNA, 460 nt
Filed under: uncultured bacterium
Lineage: Bacteria
Description: partial 16S ribosomal RNA
Rfam family: Bacterial small subunit ribosomal RNA
Source: RNAcentral